Peromyscus californicus insignis is the source of this 4057-nucleotide long non-coding RNA. RefSeq lists it as uncharacterized. Lineage: Eukaryota; Metazoa; Chordata; Mammalia; Rodentia; Cricetidae. The transcript has 2 exons. The record is from RefSeq and is a predicted model, not a curated record.
UGUCACCAUCUGAAGCUGUUGCUUUUACUACCAGGCUCCUGGAGGCCGUACUCGCCUUUUUCCUAGCACGUCUGUCCGGAGCUGACCUGGGAGGCCCCGCCAGCUGCAGCCCUGCGCCUGGCUCUUCUGCCUGACCUGCACUCUGGGGACGCGCCAGGCUGUUUGGCCGCCGUAUCCACUGGCAAUCUGUUCAAGAAAAUAGACCUGAACGUGUUGCCGGGAGCUGCCCCAGCUUCGGCAUCCUGCUGCCAUCUAGGGACCAAAUGCGGUGUCCUCUGUGCUCUGGCUCCUGAAUGUACCACUAAGUCUGGGCGGGCCCCGGACAUCCUCUGUGAACCUAAGCUGGGCAUCCGAGGUCCAUUCAGGACAGUCCCCUGCCUCAGUUAGCCUCGUCGGACUUCGCUGACGUCACCCUGGCUGAGACCCACCAGACUGAAGCCGCAAAGAGGGAAGUAACACAGACAAAGGCAGUGAGAAGAAAGACAGAGAGCAAACAGCUAGGGAGACAGGAGCAAAGGCUGCAAGAACAGACACAAAGAAGAAAGCCAACGGAAAGGCUCCAUCUGGAUUUCCUCAUUAGCUGACCUAUGGUCCUGGAAGCUCCAGCCUCCUGGGGUAUCUUCACUUCAACUUCAGCCUCAUUUUCAUAUCUUAACAAAACAUCAUCUUGGGGGCUCCUGGCAGGGAAAAAGACCCAAUCACACAUUUCUUGGACUCAGAAGCUGUCUGGAAAUUGGAUUAAAGCCUCCAUGACCCAUACCUCUUGCAUUUUGCAUGCAUUCAAAACCAGCAUCCUGUGGACAACAGUAUGAAGAUCUACUGCCAAAUCAAGAUGUACUCUGGCUCACUGUGAAAGAAUCCUUCUGUACACUGUGUGAAUAUAUGUCACUGUGAUUGGUUUAAUAAACAAGUUUACUGACCAAUAGCUGAACAGGAUAAAGUUAGGUGGGAAAGCCAAAUUGAGAAUGAUGAGAAGAGGAAAGACAGAGUCAGAGGAGUUGUUAGCCAGACACAGAGGGAGCAAGAGAUGAAUGUACCAUGCUAAUAAAGGUACCAACAUGUGACAGAGUAUAAAUAAAGAAUGUGGGUUAACUUAAAAUGUAAGAGCUAGUUAGUAAUAAGCCUGAGCUAUUGACUGAGCAUUACAAUGAAAAAAAAACUUACUGAAAACAAAGCAGUAUAGUUUAUAUUUAUAGCCCAAGAAUUUAAGAGUGAAUUCAUACUAAUCAUGAAUAGCUGAGGGAUUACAAAAAGAAACUGGGUAUGGCCCUGUAUCAGCAUUACACUUAGAAAACAAACUAGCUGUUGCAUUGAUCCAACAAUAAAUAGAUGAUAAGACAACUGGAUGAUUUAACACUUUCAAAUAAUUGUUCUGAAUUUGAGGACAUUCAGCUGGAAAAGUGCUGUAUCUCAACACACAUUUAACCUGCCUGAGCCAUUUGUUUAGCUUAUCACUGUGAUGAGUAUUUGCAAUUAGGACUUGUGGACUCUUUACUGUACUCCUUGAUUUCUAACUUCAAACUCCCUGUCCAUCAUGAAAAUGAAAGAUAGAAAGGAAGAGAGAAAAUAAAAUAAGUUAAUAUUUACCUGAUUAGUUACUCUGGAACUGGAAGGGAAUUUAAGAAAACAUCUCAGGCAACUGUGCUUGGCAUCUUUUAAACCUGCACCUUAGAAUACUGGAUGGGUCCCACAUUAUAUUAUUGUUGCUUGUUACUUUUGUUCUAGUCCCCACAAUCAUUAUAAGAACUUUACAUGAAUGUAGACUGCAUUAUAAAUACUUGAAUAGGAUUGUAUAAUGUGUAGUAUAAGGGAUGCUGUAGAACUUGGUUUUAUAAACUUGGCAUCUUUCCAUGGUAUUUCAUUCAUCAUCUCUAUGACCAUAGAAGAAACAUAGCCAGAGUACUAAGGGUCACUUUAAUACCAUUCAUGUUAUUUUUAUUUCCCAGAACACCUAGAAGUUUUGUUUAUACUAUGUUUGGUCAUUUUAAUAUACAAUACUAUUACAUAUACAAAUGUACAUGCCUUAAUAAAAAAAACUAAUAUAUUGAUAAAGCUUAGUAACCACUUCUGAGAUUCCAGGGAGCCACUGUAUUCCUUCUCCUGAAGAGGGUUACACUAAUGAUGAUUUUUUUUUUCUGUAUGAUCAGUGUGAUGACAAAAGAUGGUUGGGCCAACCAUGAUAACUUCUUGAAAUAAGACAAUAAUAAAGUUUCUUAUAUUGGCUUGUUUUUCCUUUCACAAAAUAACCUGUCAUGCAUGUAAUGGUGUUUUUGAGCAUUCUGGUGCUAAGAAAACUUUCUUUGAAAUCAGAUUCAAUCUUCUUAAAUACUGGUAUUGCUUUGCCAACUAGAAUUGUGUAAUGUUCUAAAUCCUUUCUGUUACUCCAAAGUUGUUCAUAGAAUCUUCAUCAGUAGUGGAUUUAAAAGUAAGAAAUCACUUCUAUUGCUUAUUCAUAAAUAGCAAAUCCUCUUCUGUUUAUGUAUUAUCAGGAGAAAGCUGUGAUUGUCUCACACUUUUAUGAUUAUACCUCUAAUAUUGUUCCCAUCACACCUCAAAUGCUUUCUCCACUGAUGUCUUGGACCUCUGUUAUUUUUAUUUCCCAGAACACCUAGAAGUUUUGUUUAUACUAUGUUUGGUCAUUUUAAUAUACAAUAUUAUUACAUAUACAAAUGUACAUGCCUGAUCUUUGGGAAUCCAUCUGUUUUAAAGUCUUAAUAAUGGUAUUGAGGACUCUUCCCAUGAACCAUGAAUGGUAUUAAUUGGAUCAGUGUGCUGAAUAAAUCUCCAAAAGUUUUCCAUGAGUUCCAGGUUCCAUUUAGAGACCCUGCAUCAAAAAUCAACUUAGAUAGCUCCCACGUCCACUUGCAACUAGGUGAGUGCGCAUCCGAACACAUGUGCACACUCACAUGUACGCCUAUAUACACAUAGUUAUAAACACACGCACAUACAAACUAUGUCAAUUUUGCUGACCGUUUGUUGCUCAGGACAGUCACCUUGAACCAUGAUCUUAGCCUGAUCUUCCAGAUCUCUUACACAGCUCCUGGACCUGUAUGCCCUUCUUCACUUCAUGGUUUUGGUUACUUUCUUAAAAUCUCAUUUAACAACAUCUGCUAGUUUCUUUUUUUCUUACGAAUCUUCAGUCAUCAUAGGAUUGAAACAAGUCAAGGCUUAUAUGUGAAUAAAGCUAUAUCUUAAAAGAUUACUGUGGAUAUUUUGAUAUUGUCUCCAGACUCUAAUUGGCAAUAGAGUCUGCAAGCAAAUCUAUCCCUCUCUCUAAUUGGCAAUAAGUUUGUUUAACUUUCCUAUCAUUUGUAUAUUUACUGGGUAAGUAUUUUUUUAUUUAAAUCAGUAGUCUUUGUCUUUUGGGUUUUUGUUUUGUUUUGCAUUAACAAUUUUUGUAACCUAUGCCAGGGUCCUGGCUUUGGUCUUUUUCAGUUUCAACAUGCCUUUUGCACUAAGCUGAAUCAUUUGUAGUUUUAUUUGUUUGUUUGUAUUAAGAUAUGUGAAUCUUGCUUUCAUCUGAACACUUGAAGGACACAGUGAGGUGAGGAGUAUUAUUGAUAAUCUCAGUUGAACACACUGAUUAUGGUAAGACUGGGAUGAAUCAACAACUGAGAGAUGGUUGUGGAAAUGUUCCAGACAAAUUGUACCUAUAAGAUAGUAUGUUUUGCUUAUUAUGUGUCAAAUGCUUCUUCUAUGAUUUUUAUUUUAGUUUUUCCAUGUUUGGAAUCCAGACGCUGACCUGCUGGUAGUCUGGAUCUCUUAAACAAUAAUAAAUAGUAGAACAUAGUAUGCCAUAUGGCAGAUGAUGGUUUUUGUGUAUCAAUGAUGCACAUGGAUGCUAACCUCUCCAAUGAAGGGUCAAUAGAAAUACUCCAUGGUCUGGAAAGAAAAGGCUUUGUGACCACAAACAGGGCAUCUAGGAUUUGCCAACAUACUGUCUUUCCUCAUGCAUAGCCAAUUUUCUUCCCUCUGUGUUGUCUCUCACUAAAAAAUGCUCAGUCUCACCCCUCGAGGCUAGUAUUUUCAGAGAUAUUAAAAAUGUGCAUUUAAUUCA